This 253-nucleotide ribosomal RNA is filed under the name uncultured bacterium. Its description in RNAcentral is "partial 16S ribosomal RNA". It matches the Rfam family "Bacterial small subunit ribosomal RNA", at positions 524 to 776 of the family's 1533-position model. The record is from RNAcentral.
UACAGAGGGGGCAAGCGUUGUUCGGAAUUACUGGGCGUAAAGGGCGCGUAGGCGGCCCGCUAAGUCGAACGUGAAAUCCCCGAGCUCAACUCGGGAACUGCGUCCGAUACUGGCGGGCUUGAAUCCGGGAGAGGGAUGCGGAAUUCCAGGUGUAGCGGUGAAAUGCGUAGAUAUCUGGAGGAACACCGGUGGCGAAGGCGGCAUCCUGGACAAUUGCUGACGCUCAGGCACGAAAGCGUGGGGAGCAAAAGGG